This is a long non-coding RNA of Neopsephotus bourkii (Bourke's parrot), 2219 nucleotides long. RefSeq lists it as uncharacterized. Lineage: Eukaryota; Metazoa; Chordata; Aves; Psittaciformes; Psittacidae. The transcript has 3 exons. The record is from RefSeq and is a predicted model, not a curated record.
UUUCUUGGUAUUCCAGCAAUAGAAUUAAUAUCAACAACCUACCUGCAUUUCAAUUUGCAAAGAGUCAGAGCAACUUAUGCCUGUGGUAGAUGAAGGUUGAAGCUUUCUAAAAAGACUUUGUCCACCUCUUCUUCAUCUUUAUACCCCACUUCUCCAUUCCCUUCUUCUCCUCUCACCUCUGUGCUCAGGGCCUUGGGCAAUACCUGACAAGCAUUCAGAAACUAAACCCCUACAAAAAAGCAGCAAGAUUAAAUAUCUGAGAGAAGCAGGCCCAGAACCAAUAAGGUCUGAUUUCACUGUAGGUUACCUCAGCCAAGGCAGCCGUGUGUCAGGGGAGGAAGAUGCUUGAAAAACCUCCACAGGAGAAUUAAUUAAACGAAUUUCACUCUGCCAAUUGUUUGUUAUUUUUGCUGACCUCACCAAGUGGAUUAAUAUUUAAUUAGCCUUUAGGAGAAGUGGAAAGCACUUAUUAACCUGUUAUGUCAAUCUGUCAGGCCUGGGGUCUCGGGACAGGCGCUGUUACCACGAAACAAUAGAAAUAUCAAGUUACCAUAGUUCAAGCUCUAAACUUGGUGUUGAAAUCUAAUCAUCAGUGGGGAGAUGUGAUGGGGCUCUGCAAGAUACAGAGGUCCCAGGGUAUUCCACACUCCACCAGCAAACCCAACGAGCAUCCACACCCUGGUCUUGCCAUCUAACAAGGUCACAGGAGAGAUGCUAACUACCACAAGAUCCAACUUUCCAUCACAGGUAGAAAGCUUCAGCAGACAUCAAAAAUGACAGACCCUAUUCAGGAAAACACAGGGCAUGGGCUCGUGAGUCCCUUUCAGUCCCUGCAUGCAGGAGGUGAAACCAGCAAGCGGAGGCAGAAGCGUUUGGAGGCAAGCCCUGAGCAUGCCGCUUCGCACCGGCUGCCAAGGUGGGUCAUGCUCCCCUCCCUGCAAUCUGUGCUGCUCUCAAAGGCUCUGCCUGAGCCUGGUCACCUCCUGCUGCCUCGCUCCCACAGGGCAGGGACACUGGCCACGAUGCUAUCCUGCCUACACCGGGUGCUGAUACCGCCGCUCUGUGACAGGCCAUAUCAUUUAUUAUUAUUAUUAUUAUUUUUUUCAAAUUAAAAUCCUCCUGAGCUUUAUUAAAUAGGGAUGCUGAUAGGUAAUUAAAUCGCAACUUAAUUAAAUCUGUCUGCUCAAUCCAACCGCGGCACGCUGGCUACUCUGCAAUCCCUGUGAGAGGUGCUGUCGGUGGAGAACGGCAACAUGAAUUAAACAGCAUCACAGUCAGCACUGCCACCUCCCUGCCAGGCACAGCCAGGAAUGGCACCAAUGGGUUUCUCUGCCCGUAGAGCAACAGGAGAAGGUGGGGAGACUCCACGGGGGACCUGAUUUGACUUCAUAAGAGCUUUUUGGGGUAGGGACUGACUCCCUCCAGUGCGGCAGGACCAAACCAAGGCACUGGAGGCGCGUUGGAGGACUCAUAACUAACUGCUUUGGCAUAACAUGAUAGUGUUGAACACCAUGGGGCCUGGUGAUCAGGGCCUAAGGCCAUGCUGGCGGUUGGUGUCACCGAGCUCAUUGGCAUAUAGAAGCCCACUGUCUGCUUCCAUGGUUUCCCAGCAAUGUUUGCUGCCCCGUGUGUCAACAGCCCCAGCUGGCAGUUGCCUGUGCUCCAGAAGCGACUGUGGAUGUGUGAGGAGGCAAGAGAGGCAUCUCUGUGGUUUCCCUGUCCCAGGAGCUGAACGAGCACUUCCACACCUCCCACGUGUCCUGUGGCAUCACUGGUGCAGCAUCUCCAUCUCCCAGUGACCUUGGUGGCCAUGCUGCAAGGGGAAGGGCAGAAGAACAGGCCCCCCAAGCAAGUCCAGUUCCAGCUCCCCACCAGGGACUGGUGAGAGGAGCAUGAGUGGGAGAGGAGGGAGACUGCUACCACCCAGCUCUUAGCCCCAGCCGAUCCGUUGACUGGUUCCCAUGGUGGAGCAUGGACAGCUCGCCAAGGAUAGCCAGCCACCUCUCAGCCAGAACUGGGGGAGACUUCUGCGUUAUCUGUUUGGAUGCAACAAGGAGAGGAUGACCUGUGAAAAGAAGAUGCCCCCGCCGGCACAUCCAACUCCUCAAGCAAGAUGAGCCCUCUGCUCGAGCGAAAUACCUUUUGCAGAGCCUGUUUAUCCUAUCUUUUCUUCCUGUUGCCUAAUUUUGUAGAAUGUAUCUAAUUUCACUUUUUCUUAA